CCCUUAGAUGUUCUGGGCCGCACGCGCGCUACACUGAUUCAUGCAACAAGUUUUGUCCUUGGCUGAUAGGCCUGGGUAAUCUUUGAACGUGAAUCGUGAUGGGGAUAGAUGAUUGCAAUUAUUCAUCUUCAACGAGGAAUUCCUAGUAAACGCAAGUCAUCAGCUUGCAUUGAUUACGUCCCUGCCCUUUGUACACACCGCCCGUCGCACCUACCGAUUGAAUGGUCCGGUGAAGCCUCGGGAUUGUGGUUCUUGCCGCUUUAUUGUGGCGUGACCGCGAGAACUUGUCUAAACCUUAUCAUCUAGAGGAAGGUGAAGUCGUAACA
RNAcentral lists this ribosomal RNA (326 nucleotides) under uncultured eukaryote. RNAcentral describes it as "partial 18S ribosomal RNA". It matches the Rfam family "Eukaryotic small subunit ribosomal RNA", at positions 1470 to 1796 of the family's 1831-position model. The record is from RNAcentral.